CCUACGGGAGGCAGCAGUGAGGAAUAUUGGUCAAUGGGCGGAAGCCUGAACCAGCCAAGUCGCGUGAGGGAUUAAGGCCCUGCGGGUCGUAAACCUCUUUUGCCGGGGAGCCGAGGUCCGGACGUGUCCGGGCCGGGAGAGUACCCGGAGCAAAAGCAUCGGCUAACUCCGUGCCAGCAGCCGCGGUAAUACGGAGGAUGCGAGCGUUAUCCGGCUUUAUUGGGUUUAAAGGGUGCGUAGGCGGGCAUUUAAGCCGGCGGUCAAAUGUCGGGGCUCAACCCCGGCCUGCCGUCGGAACUGGGUGCCUUGAGUGGGCGAGAAGUAUGCGGAAUGCGUGGUGUAGCGGUGAAAUGCAUAGAUAUCACGCAGAACCCCGAUUGCGAAGGCAGCAUACCGGCGCCCUACUGACGCUGAGGCACGAAAGUGCGGGUAUCGAACAGGAUUAGAUACCCCAGUAGUC
RNAcentral lists this ribosomal RNA (460 nucleotides) under uncultured bacterium. RNAcentral describes it as "partial 16S ribosomal RNA". It matches the Rfam family "Bacterial small subunit ribosomal RNA", at positions 338 to 795 of the family's 1533-position model. The record is from RNAcentral.